This 253-nucleotide ribosomal RNA is filed under the name uncultured bacterium. RNAcentral's name for it is "partial 16S ribosomal RNA". It matches the Rfam family "Bacterial small subunit ribosomal RNA", at positions 524 to 776 of the family's 1533-position model. The record is from RNAcentral.
UACGGAGGGUGCAAGCGUCAUCCGGAUUCACUGGGUUUAAAGGGAGCGCAGGCGGAUUGGUAAGUCAGUGGUGAAAGGCUUAAGCUUAACUUGGGAACUGCCAUUGAUACUAUCAGUCUUGAAUGUUGUUGAGGUUUGCGGAAUGGGUCAUGUAGCGGUGAAAUGCAUAGAUAUGACCCGGAACACCUAUUGCGAAGGCAGCAGGCUAAACAAAUAUUGACGCUGAGGCUCGAAAGCGUGGGGAUCAAACAGG